Molecule: ribosomal RNA, 429 nt
Filed under: Actinomycetes bacterium
Lineage: Bacteria; Bacillati; Actinomycetota; Actinomycetes
Description: Actinobacteria bacterium partial 16S ribosomal RNA
Rfam family: Bacterial small subunit ribosomal RNA
Source: RNAcentral
UAGGGAAUCUUCCGCAAUGGGCGAAAGCUUGACGGAGCAACGCCGCGUGAGUGAUGAAGGUCUUCGGAUCGUAAAACUCUGUUAUUAGGGAAGAACAAAUGUGUAAGUAACUAUGCACGUCUUGACGGUACCUAAUCAGAAAGCCACGGCUAACUACGUGCCAGCAGCCGCGGUAAUACGUAGGUGGCAAGCGUUAUCCGGAAUUAUUGGGCGUAAAGCGCGCGUCGGCGGUUUUUUAAGUUUGAUGUGAAAGCCCACGGGUCAACCGUGGAGGGUCAUUGGAAGCUUGAAAACUUGAGUGCAGAAGAGGAAAGUUGAAUUCCAUGUGUAGCGGUGAAAUGGGCAGAGAUAUGGAGGAACACCAGUGGCGAAGGCGACUUUCUGGUCUGUAACUGACGCUAAUGUGCGAAAGCGUGGGGAUCAAACAGG